GUAAGAUGUGGUAAUCUGCCUUGGAGAGGGGAUAACCUGGCGAAAGNUGGGNUAAUAACCCCCAUGAAGUUUAACGAUCUUAGGAUGGUUAGAUGAAAGGAUGGCUUCUAUUUAUAAGCUAUCGCUUCAAGAGGAGCUCAACACCUAUCACGCUUGUUGGUGAGGUAAGAGCUCACCAAGGCGACGACGGGUAGCCGGCCUGAGAGGGUGUCCGGCCACACUGGAACUGAGAUACGGUCCAGACUCNUACGGGAGGCAGCAGUGGGGAAUUUUUCGCAAUGGGGGCAACCCUGACGAAGCAACGCCGCGUGGAGGAUGAAGGCCCUAGCGGUUGUAAACUCCUGUCUAGCGGGACGAAGGUACACGUUGCAAAUAGCGAGGUGUAUUGACUGUACCGCUGGAGGAAGCUCCGGCCAACUCCGUGCCAGCAGCCGCGGUAAUACGGAGGGAGCAAGCGUUACUCGGAAUUAUUGGGCGUAAAGGGCGCGUAGGCGAUUUGACAAGUCACAUGUGAAAGCCCAGGGCUUAACUUUGGAAGUGCAUGUGAGACUGUUGAAUUUGAGUACAGGAGAGGAAGGCAGAAUUCCCGGUGUAGCGGUG
Molecule: ribosomal RNA, 600 nt
Filed under: uncultured soil bacterium S035
Lineage: Bacteria
Description: bacterial SSU rRNA
Rfam family: Bacterial small subunit ribosomal RNA
Source: RNAcentral